GACGAACGCUGGCGGCGUGCUUAACACAUGCAAGUCGAACGGAAAGGCCCUGCUUUUGUGGGGUGCUCGAGUGGCGAACGGGUGAGUAACACGUGAGUAACCUGCCCUUGACUUUGGGAUAACUUCAGGAAACUGGGGCUAAUACCGGAUAGGAGCUCCUGCUGCAUGGUGGGGGUUGGAAAGUUUCGGCGGUUGGGGAUGGACUCGCGGCUUAUCAGCUUGUUGGUGGGGUAGUGGCUUACCAAGGCUUUGACGGGUAGCCGGCCUGAGAGGGUGACCGGCCACAUUGGGACUGAGAUACGGCCCAGACUCCUACGGGAGGCAGCAGUGGGGAAUAUUGCACAAUGCGCGGAAGCCUGAUGCAGCAACGCCGCGUGCGGGAUGACGGCUUUCGGGUUGUAAACAGCUUUCGCCUGUGACGAAGCGUGAGUGACGGUAAUGGGUAAAGAAGCACCGGCUAACUACGU
Molecule: ribosomal RNA, 467 nt
Filed under: uncultured bacterium
Lineage: Bacteria
Description: partial 16S ribosomal RNA
Rfam family: Bacterial small subunit ribosomal RNA
Source: RNAcentral